UGAUCAUAUUCUCAGAUUAAAGAUUAAGCCAUGCAUGUCCAAGACUAAACAAGUUGUCAGUGAAUCUGCGUAUGGCUCAUUAACAGAAUCAUAACUUCCCCGAGAACGAUUGACAACUGGAUAACCGUUGUAAUUCAAGGGCUAAUCAUGCAUGAAAAGUAGUUUCUUACGAGACUACUGCAUUUGUUAGUUCCAAACCAACAUUUCAAAAGGUGAAUCAUGACAAAUUGCGGAUCUACAUGUCUUUAUGACGGUAGACGACUCGGUCAGGUCUUUCCCCUAUCAGGUUUCAACCCGAGUGUAUUGUACUCGGGUGCCGCUGACGGGUAACGGAGAAUUAGGGUUCGAUUCCGGAGAAGGAGCCUGAGAGACGGCUACUACAACUAAGGUAGGCAGCAGGCGCGCAAAUUUCCCAAUGCUCAAUGAGCGAGGAAGUGACGAUCAAUAACAAUGUGUGGCUUUUUAAGCUAUGCAAUUGGCAUGACUACAAUUUAAAAAAUAUAAGGAGGAUCAAUUG
RNAcentral lists this ribosomal RNA (517 nucleotides) under uncultured stramenopile. RNAcentral describes it as "bacterial SSU rRNA". It matches the Rfam family "Eukaryotic small subunit ribosomal RNA", at positions 21 to 550 of the family's 1831-position model. The record is from RNAcentral.